GUAAAGUACUUUCAGCAGUGAGGAAGGUGGGUAUGUUAAUAGCAUACUCAUUUGACGUUAGCUGCAGAAGAAGCACCGGCUAACUCCGUGCCAGCAGCCGACGGUAAUACGGAGGGUGCGAGACGUUAAUCGGAAUUACGUGGGACGUAAAGCGCAUGCAGGUGGUUGUUAAGUCAGAUGUAGAAACGGCCCGGGGCUACAACCGUACGGUAAUUGCUAUUUAGAAACUGGACAAACUAGAGUACUGUAGAGGGGGUAGAAUUUCAGGUGUAGCGGUGAAAAUGCGUAGAGAUCUGAAGGAAUACCGGUGGCGAAGGCGGCCCCCUGGACAGAUACUGACACUCAGAUGCGAAAGCGUGGGGAGCAAACAGGAUUAGAUACCCGGGUAG
RNAcentral lists this ribosomal RNA (389 nucleotides) under uncultured bacterium. RNAcentral's name for it is "bacterial SSU rRNA". It matches the Rfam family "Bacterial small subunit ribosomal RNA", at positions 425 to 793 of the family's 1533-position model. The record is from RNAcentral.